AGUGAACGCUGGCGGUAGGCCUAACACAUGCAAGUCGAACGGCAGCACAGUAAGAGCUUGCUCUUACGGGUGGCGAGUGGCGGACGGGUGAGGAAUACAUCGGAAUCUACUUUUUCGUGGGGGAUAACGUAGGGAAACCUACGCUAAUACCGCAUACGACCUACGGGUGAAAGCAGGGGAUCUUCGGACCUUGCGCGAUUGAAUGAGCCGAUGUCGGAUUAGCUAGUUGGCGGGGUAAAGGCCCACCAAGGCGACGAUCCGUAGCUGGUCUGAGAGGAUGAUCAGCCACACUGGAACUGAGACACGGUCCAGACUCCUACGGGAGGCAGCAGUGGGGAAUAUUGGACAAUGGGCGCAAGCCUGAUCCAGCCAUACCGCGUGGGUGAAGAAGGCCUUCGGGUUGUAAAGCCCUUUUGUUGGGAAAGAAAAGCAGCAGGUUAAUACCCCGCUGUUCUGACGGUACCCAAAGAAUAAGCACCGGCUAACUUCGU
This 491-nucleotide ribosomal RNA is filed under the name uncultured bacterium. RNAcentral's name for it is "partial 16S ribosomal RNA". It matches the Rfam family "Bacterial small subunit ribosomal RNA", at positions 29 to 506 of the family's 1533-position model. The record is from RNAcentral.